UGGCGGACGGGUGAGUAAUGUCUGGGAAACUGCCUGAUGGAGGGGGGAUAACUACUGGAAACGGUAGCUAAUACCGCAUAACGUCGCAAGACCAAANAGGGGGACCUUCGGGCCUCUUGCCAUCGGAUGUGCCCAGAUGGGAUUAGCUAGUAGGUGGGGUAACGGCUCACCUAGGCGACGAUCCCUAGCUGGUCUGAGAGGAUGACCAGCCACACUGGAACUGAGACACGGUCCAGACUCCUACGGGAGGCAGCAUG
This 257-nucleotide ribosomal RNA is filed under the name uncultured bacterium. RNAcentral's name for it is "partial 16S ribosomal RNA". It matches the Rfam family "Bacterial small subunit ribosomal RNA", at positions 96 to 353 of the family's 1533-position model. The record is from RNAcentral.